RNAcentral lists this ribosomal RNA (488 nucleotides) under uncultured bacterium. RNAcentral's name for it is "bacterial SSU rRNA". It matches the Rfam family "Bacterial small subunit ribosomal RNA", at positions 17 to 507 of the family's 1533-position model. The record is from RNAcentral.
ACCUGGCUCAGAGCGAACGUUUGCGGCGGGCCUAACACAUGCAAGUCGAACGCACUAGCAAUAGUGAGUGGCGCACGGGUGCGUAACACGUGGGUAAUCAACCCUUCAGCUUGGGAUAACGACUUGAAAGGGUCGCUAAUACCGGAUACGGCGCGAGAGGCUUCGGCUUCUCACGAGAAAGCCUCGCAAGGGGCACUGAAGGACGAGCCUGCGGCCCAUCAGCUAGUUGGUGAGGUAAGAGCUCACCAAGGCUAAGACGGGUAGCUGGUCUGAGAGGAUGAUCAGCCACACUGGAACUGAGACACGGUCCAGACUCCUACGGGAGGCAGCAGUGGGGAAUAUUGCGUAAUGGGCGAAAGCCUGACGCAGCCACGCCGCGUGAGCGAUGAAGGCCUUCGGGUCGUAAAGCUCUGUGGGGAGAGACGAAGAAAGCCCGUGAAGAGCGGGCCUUGACGGUAUCUCCUUAGCAAGCACCGGCUAACUCCGUG